GUCGAACGAGUUCUCGUUGAUGAUCGGUGCUUGCACCGAGAUUCAACAUGGAACGAGUGGCGGACGGGUGAGUAACACGUGGGUAACCUGCCCUUAAGUGGGGGAUAACAUUUGGAAACAGAUGCUAAUACCGCAUAGAUCCAAGAACCGCAUGGUUCUUGGCUGAAAGAUGGCGUAAGCUAUCGCUUUUGGAUGGACCCGCGGCGUAUUAGCUAGUUGGUGAGGUAAUGGCUCACCAAGGCGAUGAUACGUAGCCGAACUGAGAGGUUGAUCGGCCACAUUGGGACUGAGACACGGCCCAAACUCCUACGGGAGGCAGCAGUAGGGAAUCUUCCACAAUGGACGCAAGUCUGAUGGAGCAACGCCGCGUGAGUGAAGAAGGCUUUCGGGUCGUAAAACUCUGUUGUUGGAGAAGAAUGGUCGGCAGAGUAACUGUUGUCGGCGUGACGGUAUCCAACCAGAAAGCCACGGCUAACUACGUGCCAGCAGCCGCGGUAAUACGUAGGUGGCAAGCGUUAUCCGGAUUUAUUGGGCGUAAAGCGAGCGCAAGCGGUUUUUUAAGUCUGAUGUGAAAGCCCUCGGCUUAACCGAGGAAGCGCAUCGGAAACUGGGAAACUUGAGUGCAGAAGAGGACAGUGGAACUCCAUGUGUAGCGGCGAAAUGCGUAGAUAUAUGGAAGAACACCAGUGGCGAAGGCGGCUGUCUGGUCUGUAACUGACGCUGAGGCUCGAAAGCAUGGGUAGCGAACAGGAUU
Molecule: ribosomal RNA, 754 nt
Filed under: uncultured bacterium
Lineage: Bacteria
Description: bacterial SSU rRNA
Rfam family: Bacterial small subunit ribosomal RNA
Source: RNAcentral